CAGCUGUGGAGGCGGCGGAUUAGGGUUCCGGGGUCGACGUUCCCGGUCACCGUCACCUUGUGCUGGAGCGCGUCCACGUCGCACUUGUACACGCCUACGAGGUGUUCGACGAAAUGCCCCAACCAAAAAGAACAUCAAGUUUAAUUUCAAGGACAAUGAAAGUUGUGGUGGUACAGAGAGAGGGAGAGAGAGAGAGAAGCAGGGAAAAUUUUUUCUGAACCAGGUAUAUAUACGUGGUGGACAGGGUCCGGGCAACAGUUCCUCGAAUACGUGAGGUAUGAUUGUGCAUCAAAAUGAAAUGAUCACAUAGGAGGGGGGAAGGUACAAAGUUUUGAUCAUAUCUGGGUGAAUGCACUGAUACCCCUUUGCAAAUAAUUUUGAUCAUUUAUGUGUGGUUUAAAUGCUCGAAUCUUGUACCCAUCACACCACGUAGAUCUGAUCAGUGUGUGUUCACUCACUGUCCUUCUAACUCAGACCCAUGAGCCCCACAACCUGGCAGACAGUAAGCUCUCGUGAUCCAUGCGAAUUAAUAUUUUAAAAAUCAGGUCGAAUAACGAAACAGUGGAUCAAUCACUGAUGAGUGAAUCAGUGGCAUCAGUCUAACAUUAUUAAUGUUUAAUCAUUUAUUAUUUUUAAAUUAA
Long non-coding RNA from Ananas comosus (pineapple), 641 nucleotides. RefSeq lists it as uncharacterized. The transcript has 3 exons. Lineage: Eukaryota; Viridiplantae; Streptophyta; Magnoliopsida; Poales; Bromeliaceae. The record is from RefSeq and is a predicted model, not a curated record.